This 241-nucleotide unclassified non-coding RNA is filed under the name uncultured fungus. RNAcentral's name for it is "sequence contains ITS2". The stretch from base 1 to 52 matches the Rfam family "5.8S ribosomal RNA", at positions 103 to 154 of the family's 154-position model. The record is from RNAcentral. Lineage: Eukaryota; Fungi.
AACGCACAUUGCGCCCGCUGGUAUCCCGGCGGGCAUGCCUGUUCGAGCGUCAUUUCAACCCUCAGGCCACGCCUGGUGUUGGGGCACCACAGCCGGUGGGCCCCGAAAUACAGCGGCGGGCACGCCCCGGACCCGAGCGCAGUAGCACAUCUCGCUCAGGGCCUCCGGGCGGGCUCCUGCCGUAAAACACCCCAAUUCUAAGGUUGACCUCGGAUCAGGUAGGAAUACCCGCUGAACUUAA